Molecule: long non-coding RNA, 264 nt
Filed under: Elaeis guineensis (African oil palm)
Lineage: Eukaryota; Viridiplantae; Streptophyta; Magnoliopsida; Arecales; Arecaceae
Description: long non-coding RNA (EGUI_LNC008329)
Source: RNAcentral
UUGGGUAUUUCUUGAAAAACUCCAUCUUUUGUCCCAUGUUUAGAUUGCUUAUGUAUCAAAGGUUCUUUGAUAAAAGCAUGACCAUUUAGCCCAAAACAAGUUCCUUUGUGACUUGAUCAAGAUACCUAUUAUUUUAUGGUUGAUAGGGCUUUCUGCUAUAUUUUCUUUAGGCCUUUUGAGACAAAGGUAGAAGUAGGGUUGUAUGGAUCAAGCUUAUAUUCCCUAUCAAUUAAAUCUUAGCCUUACCAUUUAUCUUCCUUUGGC